CCUACGGGAGGCAGCAGUGAGGAAUAUUGGUCAAUGGCCGGAAGGCUGAACCAGCCAAGCCGCGUGAAGGACGAAGGUGCCAAGCAUUGUAAACUUCUUUUGUCAAGGGACAAAAUCAGGCUCGAGAGCCUGACCGAGGGUACUUGAAGAAAAAGCAUAGGCUAACUCCGUGCCGGCGGCCGGGGUAAUACGGAGGAUGCGAGCGUUAUCCGGAUUUAUAGGGUUAAAAGGGUGCGUAGUGGGACUGUUAAGUCAGCGGUAAAAGCCCGGGGCUCAACCCCGGCGAGCCGUUGAAACUGGCUGUCUGGAGAUGGCGAGAGGAAAGCGGAAUUCGCAGUGUAGCGGUGAAAUGCUUAGAUAUUGCGCAGAACUCCGAUUGCGAAGGCAGCAUACCGGCGGCGAUCUGACGCUGAGGCACGAAAGCGUGGGUAUCGAACAGGAUUAGAUACCCGGGUAGUC
Molecule: ribosomal RNA, 459 nt
Filed under: uncultured bacterium
Lineage: Bacteria
Description: partial 16S ribosomal RNA
Rfam family: Bacterial small subunit ribosomal RNA
Source: RNAcentral